This 1811-nucleotide ribosomal RNA is filed under the name Escherichia coli. Its description in RNAcentral is "partial 23S ribosomal RNA". It matches the Rfam family "Bacterial large subunit ribosomal RNA", at positions 904 to 2697 of the family's 2925-position model. Lineage: Bacteria; Pseudomonadati; Pseudomonadota; Gammaproteobacteria; Enterobacterales; Enterobacteriaceae. The record is from RNAcentral.
AGAGCACUGUUUCGGCAAGGGGGUCAUCCCGACUUACCAACCCGAUGCAAACUGCGAAUACCGGAGAAUGUUAUCACGGGAGACACACGGCGGGUGCUAACGUCCGUCGUGAAGAGGGAAACAACCCAGACCGCCAGCUAAGGUCCCAAAGUCAUGGUUAAGUGGGAAACGAUGUGGGAAGGCCCAGACAGCCAGGAUGUUGGCUUAGAAGCAGCCAUCAUUUAAAGAAAGCGUAAUAGCUCACUGGUCGAGUCGGCCUGCGCGGAAGAUGUAACGGGGCUAAACCAUGCACCGAAGCUGCGGCAGCGACGCUUAUGCGUUGUUGGGUAGGGGAGCGUUCUGUAAGCCUGUGAAGGUGUACUGUGAGGUAUGCUGGAGGUAUCAGAAGUGCGAAUGCUGACAUAAGUAACGAUAAAGCGGGUGAAAAGCCCGCUCGCCGGAAGACCAAGGGUUCCUGUCCAACGUUAAUCGGGGCAGGGUGAGUCGACCCCUAAGGCGAGGCCGAAAGGCGUAGUCGAUGGGAAACAGGUUAAUAUUCCUGUACUUGGUGUUACUGCGAAGGGGGGACGGAGAAGGCUAUGUUGGCCGGGCGACGGUUGUCCCGGUUUAAGCGUGUAGGCUGGUUUUCCAGGCAAAUCCGGAAAAUCAAGGCUGAGGCGUGAUGACGAGGCACUACGGUGCUGAAGCAACAAAUGCCCUGCUUCCAGGAAAAGCCUCUAAGCAUCAGGUAACAUCAAAUCGUACCCCAAACCGACACAGGUGGUCAGGUAGAGAAUACCAAGGCGCUUGAGAGAACUCGGGUGAAGGAACUAGGCAAAAUGGUGCCGUAACUUCGGGAGAAGGCACGCUGAUAUGUAGGUGAAGUCCCUCGCGGAUGGAGCUGAAAUCAGUCGAAGAUACCAGCUGGCUGCAACUGUUUAUUAAAAACACAGCACUGUGCAAACACGAAAGUGGACGUAUACGGUGUGACGCCUGCCCGGUGCCGGAAGGUUAAUUGAUGGGGUCAGCGCAAGCGAAGCUCUUGAUCGAAGCCCCGGUAAACGGCGGCCGUAACUAUAACGGUCCUAAGGUAGCGAAAUUCCUUGUCGGGUAAGUUCCGACCUGCACGAAUGGCGUAAUGAUGGCCAGGCUGUCUCCACCCGAGACUCAGUGAAAUUGAACUCGCUGUGAAGAUGCAGUGUACCCGCGGCAAGACGGAAAGACCCCGUGAACCUUUACUAUAGCUUGACACUGAACAUUGAGCCUUGAUGUGUAGGAUAGGUGGGAGGCUUUGAAGUGUGGACGCCAGUCUGCAUGGAGCCGACCUUGAAAUACCACCCUUUAAUGUUUGAUGUUCUAACGUUGACCCGUAAUCCGGGUUGCGGACAGUGUCUGGUGGGUAGUUUGACUGGGGCGGUCUCCUCCUAAAGAGUAACGGAGGAGCACGAAGGUUGGCUAAUCCUGGUCGGACAUCAGGAGGUUAGUGCAAUGGCAUAAGCCAGCUUGACUGCGAGCGUGACGGCGCGAGCAGGUGCGAAAGCAGGUCAUAGUGAUCCGGUGGUUCUGAAUGGAAGGGCCAUCGCUCAACGGAUAAAAGGUACUCCGGGGAUAACAGGCUGAUACCGCCCAAGAGUUCAUAUCGACGGCGGUGUUUGGCACCUCGAUGUCGGCUCAUCACAUCCUGGGGCUGAAGUAGGUCCCAAGGGUAUGGCUGUUCGCCAUUUAAAGUGGUACGCGAGCUGGGUUUAGAACGUCGUGAGACAGUUCGGUCCCUAUCUGCCGUGGGCGCUGGAGAACUGAGGGGGGCUGCUCCUAGUACGAGAGGACCGGAG